UACGGAGGGUGCUAGCGUUAAUCGGAAUUACUGGGCGUAAAGCGCGCGCAGGCGGCUAAGUAAGCCGGGUGUGAAAGCCCCGGGCUCAACCUGGGAAUGGCAUCCGGAACUGGUAAGCUAGAGUGCAGAAGAGGAAGGUAGAAUUCCCGGUGUAGCGGUGAAAUGCGUAGAGAUCGGGAGGAAUACCAGUGGCGAAGGCGGCCUCCUGGUCAGACACUGACGCUGAGGUGCGAAAGCGUGGGUAGCAAACAGG
This 253-nucleotide unclassified non-coding RNA is filed under the name uncultured Halomonadaceae bacterium. Its description in RNAcentral is "contains 16S-23S intergenic spacer region". It matches the Rfam family "Bacterial small subunit ribosomal RNA", at positions 524 to 776 of the family's 1533-position model. The record is from RNAcentral. Lineage: Bacteria; Pseudomonadati; Pseudomonadota; Gammaproteobacteria; Oceanospirillales; Halomonadaceae.